Molecule: ribosomal RNA, 483 nt
Filed under: uncultured bacterium
Lineage: Bacteria
Description: partial 16S ribosomal RNA
Rfam family: Bacterial small subunit ribosomal RNA
Source: RNAcentral
GACGAACGCUGGCGGCGUGCUUAACACAUGCAAGUCGAACGCUGAAGCUCAGCUUUUGUUGGGUGGAUGAGUGGCGAACGGGUGAGUAACACGUGAGUAACCUGCCCCCUUCUUUGGGAUAACGCCCGGAAACGGGUGCUAAUACUGGAUAUUCACUGGUCUUCGCAUGGGGGUUGGUGGAAAGGGUUUUUCUGGUGGGGGAUGGGCUCGCGGCCUAUCAGCUUGUUGGUGGGGUGAUGGCCUACCAAGGCUUUGACGGGUAGCCGGCCUGAGAGGGUGACCGGUCACAUUGGGACUGAGAUACGGCCCAGACUCCUACGGGAGGCAGCAGUGGGGAAUAUGGCACAAUGGGCGCAAGCCUGAUGCAGCGACGCCGCGUGAGGGAUGGGGGCCUUCGGGUUGUGAACCUCUUUCGCUCAUGGUCAAGCCGCAACAAUGGUUGUGGUGAGGGUAGUGGGUAAAGAAGCGCCGGCUAACUACGUG